GACGUAGGGGGCAAGCGUUGUCCGGAAUCAUUGGGCGUAAAGCGCUCGUAGGUGGAUCGGUAAGUCUGCAAAGAAAGACCCGGGCUCAACUCGGGGAACGGUGUGGAUACUACCGAUCUUGAGGCAAUCAGAGGAUGAUGGAAUUCCCGGUGUAGCGGUGAAAUGCGUAGAUAUCGUCUGGAACGCCGAAGGUGAAAACAGCUCGCUGGGGCUGCGCUGACGCUGAGACACGAAAGCCAGGGGAGCGAACGGG
Molecule: ribosomal RNA, 253 nt
Filed under: uncultured bacterium
Lineage: Bacteria
Description: partial 16S ribosomal RNA
Rfam family: Bacterial small subunit ribosomal RNA
Source: RNAcentral